This 93-nucleotide ribosomal RNA is filed under the name Orthoclada laxa. RNAcentral's name for it is "partial 26S ribosomal RNA". It matches the Rfam family "Eukaryotic large subunit ribosomal RNA", at positions 1 to 90 of the family's 3401-position model. The record is from RNAcentral. Lineage: Eukaryota; Viridiplantae; Streptophyta; Magnoliopsida; Poales; Poaceae. RNAcentral also lists the same sequence under 4 other names.
CCGCGACCCCAGGUCAGGCGGGACUACCCGCUGAGUUUAAGCAUAUAAAUAAGCGGAGGAGAAGAAACUUACGAGGAUUCCCCUAGUAACGGC